Long non-coding RNA from Oncorhynchus gorbuscha (pink salmon), 2740 nucleotides. RefSeq lists it as uncharacterized. The record is from RefSeq and is a predicted model, not a curated record. NCBI's taxonomy places the organism in Eukaryota, Metazoa, Chordata, Actinopteri, Salmoniformes, Salmonidae. The transcript is spliced from 3 exons.
GGUUCAAUGGAAGAUGAGGGUCACAUCAAGUCAAACUCCUCCAGCUCAUCGUCUCUGCACAGACAUAUGGACAGACAUCACACCCAGAGGGGUCAUCUCAACUUCUCACCCUUCGGUGCAGGGGCUGCGCUCUAAGGCAGAGAGGUGCUGGGAGCACCCCUCACGUUUAGGGCCGAGGUGAUCCAACAUCUGCGUUGGUGCUGACCUGGGGGAGGGGCGGGCCGACUGGAGGACCCAACAGGACACCAACGGAACACUACGAAACCCGGAUACUAUGCUGGCCUGGGCCAAUAGGAGGUCCUCUCCAUAGUGGGAGGAUGACCGACCGACCACCCCUCUCCUCUCCUCACACAUCCUCUCCUGUCUACACCCUGCCUCCUGCCCCUCCCUCCUGCCCAGGUCUGCCACCCCAUUGGGCAAAGGACAGGUGCAUCAGAGAGUGAGACAAUGCAUAAGAUAAGACAAUCCAACCGACAAGAGCAUUUACAAAGAAAGGAGGGAGAAAUGGAAUAGAGUAGCAAUCACAAUCCACAUCCCUCCUUCCUCUCUCUCUCUGUCUCUCUCUCUGCCUCUCUCUCUGUGUCUCUCAGUCUCUCUCUCUCUCUCUCUCUCUCUCUCUCUCUCUCUCUCUCUCUCUCUCUCUCUCUCUCUCUCUCUCUCUCUCUCUCUCUCUCUCGCUCUCUCAUCUGAUAGUAGGAGGGGGCUUGGCGUGACAGAGCAGGGAUCGCAGAAGUUCUGUGAACAGGGACUCUCCUCCAGCUCAGAACCCAGAGAGGGAGCCUCGUCAUUGGGCUAGAUCUGUGCCUAUGUGCAGAACAGAGCAUGUGUAUACCCCCCUGUACAUAUCCUCUGUUGAAUCUCACUGGUCUGGUGUUCAGAACAGUCAUCAUCUCUAGGACCAGGAAGUUUUUCAUAUCAUGUGAUCUGAGCAGGUAAAACUCCUGUCUAGUCCUCUGAACUCCUUCAGGUAUCAGCUACCACUUUAGCCUCGCACAGGCAACUAGGUGCUUCAGGUGCUUCUGUAACCCUGGCAACAAUAGAUCAGAGGUCAAGGAGACCCCAAGGUGCACUUCUUUCACCCCCUGCUAGCCACCAGCCUUUCACUUUAGCACAAAACUGUAUGGAAGAACCACAACAAACACCAUACUGAGUGCAGAUAUGCACUGCCCCCACCGGCCCAGUGAUGGAUACUAAUCCCAGAAAACACGCUAAAAGUAUUACUGACUAGACAACACAAAAGCAAAGCUGUUUUGAUAAUGAUGGGGAUAGUAGCUAGUUCAUGUAGAAAGAACGCCAUUGGUCAGAUUGUAUCAAUGUUCUGUAAGAUUUUUACUGGCCUUAGUGCCAUAUAACAGGAGGCCAGUCAAACUCAGCUACAGAUAAUGUAUUUUUAAUUGAUGAGUUAAUGUGUAAAGCACACAAACAGACUGAAUAGGGAACAGUGUAGAUGACCAACACACAACUAUCUCUGGCAGUCCCUCAAUGUACUUCUUAUCUAGAUUUAUUUGACAAAUAUCUUAUAGAAAUAAACUGUAGUUUCUUCAUAUUAGUGUCCCAUUCGCACCUGAAUCGUUUGAUGUGUUUCAUCUUAUGUAAAACAAUGUUAGGAGUCGACAAGUUUCUGUAGAAUUCAAGGCUGCAACUCAAGCACAACUGAGUUCUCAAGUAAAGCUACCCUCAACCUCCUCAUUCCCCCACCCUGUCUCCUCAUUACCCUCACAACCUCAAAAAAUAUCCCAUCACCACCUCCAGGAUGCUGUAGGGGUUAGAGGGCGUUGCCAGGGUAACCUCCCUGUAAAUAAUGGCUGACGUUUAAUGUGGUUUUGACUAGAUGAGCUACAGCAUAUGUCAGAAUAGACUUUUCAUAGCAGGUUAGAAGAACGUACGCAGCAGGUUAGGAGAAUUAGGUUGUUAUGAAAAGGGUUAGAGUUAGCUAAAAUGCUGUAUCCCAUCUAGCCAUGACCAUUUAAUGUCCAAAUGUUUUAUUUACUAUAGCAGAAGAGCACAGAAAUGGAAAGAUGGAAAGAGGAAAUUGUCUAUAUGGAAGAUAGUUUCGUGCAAUGACUGAGGCAAAGAGCAGAGGUUUAUUUUAUAAUGUGAAUACCUUUUUUUGCCAUAUGAUUGCCUAUUGACAUGAAACUUCAUUAUGCUGUAUUUAUCUUGUGUGUUUGUUUGUUUCCCUGUAACUCCAUUGUAAAACUGUUCCAGUGGAGAAAGACUGAUGUUUCCAUCAUUUAUUUGUCUGAUUGUUGUUAGGAUGUUAAAUUGCACAAUGUUGAUGUGUGGAGUGGUGUACACAUCAUAAAAAAAAUAGCUAAAAAAUAGCCUUUAACCGCUGAUAUAGGAUCAAAUAUUUUCAACAUCCUCCUAAUGGUUAUGGUUAGGAUUGAGAGAAUGGUAAUCUGAUCCUAGAUCUGUGGUAAGGGGCACCUAACACUGGCCAUGGUAAAUUGGAUGGGUGUGUCUGUGCAAGCCAUUUGAUCAUAGAAGAUUGAUGUGACUGUAAAUCCCUGGAAGUAGCUCUGUUUGUUUUCUCAUGUACACUGAUCAUCCUCCAACACAUCUGAUUGAUCCUUUAAUAGGAAUUAGCAACGCCAUCACAAGCUCUAUCUUAGUUGUUGACCGCACCGUGUGUGUGUGUGUGUGUGUGUGUGUGUGUGUGUGUGUGUGUGUGUGUGUGUGUGUGUGUGUGUGUGUGUGUGUGUGUGUGUGUGUGUGUGUGUGUGUGUGUGUGUGUGUG